Molecule: long non-coding RNA, 2805 nt
Filed under: Nicotiana tabacum (common tobacco)
Lineage: Eukaryota; Viridiplantae; Streptophyta; Magnoliopsida; Solanales; Solanaceae
Description: long non-coding RNA (NTAB_LNC019099)
Source: RNAcentral
AAUUGGAGAUGAAAUGCUUGUGGAGAUGUAGUAUCAAUUUUUUAGAUUGCACGGGUCUUGAAUUUGUCAAAAUGAAGCAUAUUUCAAAUAUUAGUUGUGGCCAGAACACAGAAAUGGGUAGUAUACUCUAUGUGAAUUCUUCUCUUUUAUUAUUUACUCCAGUGAAUCGUCUUUUUUUUUUUUUUGCUUAACUCUAGAUUGAGUUAUCUUAUCGGGUAAACCGAUAACCGAACCGAUAAUAGUCAAUAACCGAUUAACCGAUAACCGAUAAGCAAUAUCUUAUUGAUUCGAUUAUCGGUUUAUCAUAUUUAUAAACCAAUAACCGAUAUGCAAAACCGAUAAUAUUCACAGCCGAACCGAUCGAUGUCCACCCCUAAUUAUUCAAUAAUUAAUCAUAUGAAUUUCCUCAUCGUAUCUAAAAAAGACAAGAAAAGCAAACCACUAAUAAUUUGAUGAAAUAGUGGGUGACAGAAGCACAUAAGUUAUCUUAUUGUUCUAGAGAUAUAACUAUAAGGUAAGCAUCUAAAAUAGUGGGUGACAUAAGCACAUAAGUCACUCAUAUGUACAGGUAAGCAUCAAUCUAAAAUGAUUACAGUAUCACUUAUAUGUAGUACAAGUAAACUUGCAUAAAAAAUGGAGUUCAUAUUCUUUUCUUGCUUGACUAUAUAUAUGGACAGCAUUAAAUUUCUAUAGAUCUCAGAAAGCCAACACCAAUAUUUAUAGAAAAUCCCAAAUAAGGUUUGCUGGAUUGCAAUGGAUUUCCGAAGGUUUGAGACUCUCAUAGACAAAAUCCUUAUAUAUAAGUGGGUGAUUUUCACCGACAUGUGUUUUUUUUUUUUUUUUUGGCACUAUUUAAGUUUUGACCCGAUUUUUUGAAUUUGUGCACGAAUACCCCCAUUUUCAAGUUACGAAGGAUGCACUGCAUAUAUGGAAGUUAGAAGAACUGUGGCAGUUUUUUCGUAUAUUGAAAUUUCCAAAGUAGCAUCACGUUUAAGAUAAUCUUCAGAUGAUUGACUCAAAAAUAAAGUUAGCUAAGUGCUUACGUAUUCCUUUGUUUCAAUAAUAAAUGAUCUGAUAAAGAUGGAUUAAAGCACGAAUUAGUAAUUUAACUGUCACUUUGUGUCUAGUUAAUGCAUUCCGAGGUUUUCAUUUGCUUUUUGAAAAUUGUGGUCAAUGUAUAUAAUGUUUACUUUUUCAAAACGUAGCUGACAUAAGGGCUGACAUCAGACUAUCAGCAUUGAGCUCUCUUAUCUUUUCUCAUUUGACUAUAUGGACAUCAUUAAAUUUCCAUAUUAAAAUUUCCAGCUUCACUUUAGUGUUGCUAGAGUCGCAAUAGAUUUCAGUAAGGGCCUUUCAUCUAGUUUGGAGUUUUAAGGUAAAAAUAGCACGGGUUCGUCAGUUUUCGGAUUGGUCCUUCAAAAAUAGUUAGUGUUUGCAAAGUCAUUAAAAAAUAGUCUUUAUAUUGUUGCAACACGAAAAAUUCCAGCAUAAUAUAUUGGAGAUCGGUGCACUUGUGCAUGAACUUCCAGCAUAUUAUACUGGAACUCCAACACGCGGAAAAUUCCAGCAUAAUAUAGUGGAAAAUCGAGCACAUGUGUAUGAACUUUCAGCAUAUUAUGUUGGACCGGUAUAUUAUAAUGGAAUUCCAGUAUAUUAUUCUGGAGUAUUUUCUAGAUUUUGAACAAUAUUUUCGUUCAUAUUUAUCUUUACAUGAAAAAUGGCUAAAUUUCGAUUACUUUUACAAUUGUGGCUAUUUUUGAAUGACCGCUUAUAAAUCUGGCUAUUUUUGAAUUUCUCCUAGUUUUAAGAGCUCAUAAUUGACAAAGCCCAGUAAACUUCUAGUUGUCUUACGGUUAGGGAAGGUGAGAGUUUGUGAUACAGACUGGCCUGUCCAAGACCAGCACAAUUAAAUAUUUGAACUAGUAAAAAUUGCACGGGGCGCCCUAUUUGGUCGCCUCCAUUUAACCUAUACCCAUUUUUUUUAAAAAUUUUUAAUUUGUAUCACUUUUUAAACAACUUCAGCUCCCUUUCUCCUCCUACUUUUCCUCCUUCAUUUUCUUUUUUCUUCUUCUACAACGAUGUCUUCAACAUUGCUCUCUUUGAUUAAUGAAGCUAAAGCAAAUAUACUGAGGAAGUGAGUUUUCACCCAUUUACAUACGCAAAAACUUCAGCAUCCUUGGAACAUAUUUAAGAAGGCUAUAUUUAUAUGUUAUUAAUAACAUUGCAAGGUGCUAACUUUCUGCUGCGUGGUACAGAUGAGAUGACGACUUUAGACACAGUACAUAUAUGCUGCUAUUGACAGAGAUACAAAGAUGCUCACCCAUGAUCUAAGAGUUUUGAAAUUGGAUUUUGGAUGUAACUUCGAUUGCUCUGACUGAAAGGUUAUUACAAUGGUAACUUUGAACUCUAGGAAAAAUGGACUGCAAAGAUGAUUAUAUCAGCAAAUAUACCCAGUGAAGUUUUCCAGUUACAAAACAAAAACUUCAGCUCUAGAGCUGAACUUCAGGCCCGAUUACUAGAAUGCUGAAGUUUGUAUGAUUGUCUUUGCUACUUCAGCCUCGUAUGCUGAAGUUAUACAAAAAAAAUGGGUACACUUGUAAAUUCUUUUGUAAAACAGACACAAGUUAAAAUAUGACAUAAAAAAUGGGUAUAGAUAUAAAUGCCCUUUGAACUAUGCGGACUGUCCAAUUAAGAAAAAUUGGCCCACUAGAUAGCAGCUUCCUUCCCCUAAAUGAUUUGGGGGGAAAUGGGCUGCGUAGUCACUUUUUCUACCUGCUUUUAGAGUUUAUCCAUAUUUUAAAAAAG